RNAcentral lists this long non-coding RNA (1191 nucleotides) under Bemisia tabaci. RNAcentral's name for it is "lncRNA ENSASIAIIG008786". Lineage: Eukaryota; Metazoa; Arthropoda; Insecta; Hemiptera; Aleyrodidae. The record is from RNAcentral.
AUGUCAGGCUGUAAUUGCCGUAAGUUUGAUACUCAACCGCAGAAGAUCUGGGAAGUUGCCAGGGCAGGCUUCAUAUACUACCGAAAUCGUCCACCACCUGAUGAUUUGACACCCGAUGCCAUGGAACAACUCUCAGAAGAGGAGCUCCAGUCAAUCAAUGAGUAUGAGGUCUUUAUGGUGCCUGGCAAGCUGCUGCAUUCUGUGCCAAUACUGUUUAACAAAAAAACAAAGGAAGCCAUCGAGCUUAUUUGCAAGUGCAGAAGCUUGCUAGGCAUCCCAGAGCCAACCGAGCAGGCUGCAAUACCUAGGGGCAGGAAAACGGUAGUUACAAAUCAGCAAGUCGAUGAUUGCAAGAAAAAAGAACUCUUAUUUCCCAGGGUGUUCACUGAAAAACCCUUCGAGGCUAGUGCAAUCUUAGCUACCCUGAGGUCCAGCUGCAAGCUGAAAAAGCCCAAUCAUAUGACUGCAACUGGUCUUAGGCAUCAUUUGGCUACAAAAACGGCCAUCCAAGGUAAUGAUGAGUACAUGGACAAGGUUUGUUCAUUUAUGGGGCACACAAAACAGACUCAUGGGCAAUACUAUAAGUUUCCGAUCCAGGCCACUCAAAGAGGAGUUGUAGGAAGUAAACUCAGAAUGAUGGCGAAAGGAAAAAGCCUUACUGAGCCAUCCCAUAACGUAACAACAUCAGUUGACGUCAACAACAAUGAAGACCCCAGCUUAGCGGCUGAGGAAGGAUCUUCAUUAUUAUUGGCCUCAACAGUUGCCGAUGUUCAGAUACGCCCUACUCAGUUAUUGACCUCGACAGUUGCUGAUGUUGCGAUGUAUCCUGCUCCAAUAUUGACCCCAACAGUUGCUAAAGUUGAGAUGCAUCCUGCUCCUGAUGAUAUAUUUAAUCUUAGCACGUCAGCAUCUGUAGCCAUAGUGGAAGAGAGCACAUCAAUUCCCAUCAAAAGAGGUAGAGGACGUCCAAAGAAAGUGGUCAGCCCACCAAAAAUGCCCAAGUUGUCGGAAUCUCUUUCUGCCUCAUCAUCAGAAGUGGUCAGCCCACCAAAAAUGCCCAAGUUGUCGGAAUCUCUUUCUGCCUCAUCGUCAGAUUCUGACGAUUCAUUUGUACCUUUUGAUACCAAAAAGAAAAAAAAGAGACAAGAAGGUGGAAAGCCUGGACUUUUGAAGAGAAAGAACUGGUUGUGA